This 460-nucleotide ribosomal RNA is filed under the name uncultured bacterium. RNAcentral's name for it is "partial 16S ribosomal RNA". It matches the Rfam family "Bacterial small subunit ribosomal RNA", at positions 338 to 795 of the family's 1533-position model. The record is from RNAcentral.
CCUACGGGCGGCAGCAGUGAGGAAUAUUGGUCAAUGGACGCAAGCCUGAACCAGCCAUGCCGCGUGCAGGAAGACGGCUCUAUGAGUUGUAAACUGCUUUUGUACGAGGGUAAACGCAGAUACGCGUAUCUGUCUGAAAGUACCGUACGAAAAAGGAUCGGCUAACUCCGUGCCAGCAGCCGCGGUAAUACGGAGGAUUCAAGCGUUAUCCGGAUUUAUUGGGUUUAAAGGGUGCGUAGGCGGUAGGAUAAGUUAGAGGUGAAAUCCAGAGGCUCAACUUCGGAAUUGCCUUUGAUACUGUUCGGCUAGAGAGUAGUAGAGGUAGGCGGAAUGUGUGGUGUAGCGGUGAAAUGCUUAGAGAUCAUACAGAACACCGAUUGCGAAGGCAGCUUACCAGGCUACUUCUGACGUUGAGGCACGAAAGCGUGGGGAGCAAACAGGAUUAGAUACCCCAGUAGUC